GACGAACGCUGGCGGCGUGCUUAACACAUGCAAGUCGAACGGAAAGGCCCUGCUUUUGUGGGGUGCUCGAGUGGCGAACGGGUGAGUAACACGUGAGUAACCUGCCCUUGACUUUGGGAUAACUUCAGGAAACUGGGGCUAAUACCGGAUAGGAGCUCCUGCUGCAUGGUGGGGGUUGGAAAGUUUCGGCGGUUGGGGAUGGACUCGCGGCUUAUCAGCUUGUUGGUGGGGUAGUGGCUUACCAAGGCUUUGACGGGUAGCCGGCCUGAGAGGGUGACCGGGCACAAUGGGACUGAGAUAAGGCCCAGACUCCUACGGGAGGCAGCAGUGGGGAAUAUUGCACAAUGGGCGGAAGCCUGAUGCAGCAACGCCGGGUGCGGGAUGACGGCCUUCGGGUUGUAAACCGCUUUCGCCUGGGACGAAGCGUGAGUGACGGUAAUGGGUAAAGAAGCACCGGCUAACUACGUG
RNAcentral lists this ribosomal RNA (468 nucleotides) under uncultured bacterium. Its description in RNAcentral is "partial 16S ribosomal RNA". It matches the Rfam family "Bacterial small subunit ribosomal RNA", at positions 28 to 507 of the family's 1533-position model. The record is from RNAcentral.